Cucurbita moschata (crookneck pumpkin) is the source of this 2554-nucleotide long non-coding RNA. RefSeq lists it as uncharacterized. The record is from RefSeq and is a predicted model, not a curated record. Lineage: Eukaryota; Viridiplantae; Streptophyta; Magnoliopsida; Cucurbitales; Cucurbitaceae. The transcript is spliced from 3 exons.
AAAAUAUUGGGCCUUCGAGUUCUUACUUCAGUCUUGAAUCUCCAGUUUCUAUGAAGUAGAGAAUUUUGAAACAAGGAAAAACAGGGGUAAGAUUCCACAUGCUUGAUGCUUAUAUCAAUGUAUGAAUUGUUCUUCUGGAUUCAAGUUUGUUUAGCUUAUCUAGUUUGAUUGUUGAUUGUUGAUUGGAAUAAUUUCUGUGGCUGUUCGAUAUGUUUUAAGUAACUAGGUAGGAUUUCUUUCUUUGAUUAUUUAAUCUCCAUUUUGCGAGCAUUUCGCGAUCUCGGCUUAGGAUCAUCGUUCGAUUUACAGUUCUAAUAGGAAAGCUGGAUCAAUGACGAAUAAGUUGAAUAUAGUAAAUCGCACAUUCUACUUGAAUAUAUUAUUGCAAUCUCCUCUUUAGUGCAUUAUUAUUGGAGUCGCGUAAUGAACAAUGAUUUUGAUCUUGUUGUUUAUCUUCUGUUGCCGGAAGAACAUUCAGCCAGAAAAGGAAAACGUUCAAAGAAAUAAAUGAAAAUGAAAAUUACUGUAGGUUACAUUAAUUUGGGAUGUAGGAGAUACAAUGAGAUACUCAACUCUUAAGACUGGACCAGAAAGCACAGUGCUCUUAAUGUUUCAUUUUCCCUAUAUUUUAAAGAUUAGGAGUUUGUUCUUUAUGGACUGUGAUUCGAGAUCUGGAGACAAAUUUUAAUCUGGUAGUUAAUCAGUGGCUGACAGAGCCGCAGCUACAAUCUGUGGAAGGUUAAUAGUUUAUGACAUUUGGCUAAAAAUCAGAGUAAUGCUUCAUCUGAAAUUGGUGUUGCUGAGUAUAGCAAAAGCAUAUACCUGGAACUUCAGCGAAAGAUGGUUCACCGAUAUGUGAAUUUUAAGAUUGAUGAAAAGAAAAAAGCCCAGAUGGGAUUUUCGAUGAUUUCACUUCUUCAUUGCCUGAGAGUGAUUGUAGAUCUGCAGUUCAUGAUUAUCACUGCCUGGUUUAUUUUCAUUCGUUCAAACAGUUUUUUCCUUGUUAGUACAGUAAUUUGAUUUGUAGUUUAGCAGUUUCAACCUCUUACUAUUUGAUUAAACGAGUUCAGUUCCUUAUGUUUGAUUCUGCUUUAGUUUAAUGUUCAACUAUUUCAUUAAAUAGCAAGCAUCUUUCUUUAUGUGUUGAAUCUCAGGUGUUAUUUCUAGCUUAGCUAGCAUGAAUCGAAAACAUGGAGCUGUAACAUUUCUUAUGUGUUUGGUUGACUUUCUUUCUGAUGUUGUUUCAUGAAAUUGUGUACAAUCAAACUUUAUCUAUGCCAUUGUUUCUUUAACAAGAGGGAUUUGAGAACUUUAUACAGAGGGUUGUUUUAUACCUAUCUGAGAUUAGUAUUAGUUUGUUAUCAAUUUGCUUCACUUGAUUUGUCCGGUUGAUGUUAUAGCUCUAUCAGUUGUUUCAGUUCACGUCAUCUGCUUUGUUGUAGUACCCAACAUCUAUAUCAUGGCCGUGAUUGUCUGAAGUUUUCACACUUGAUUUCUUCUAUUUUCUGAACACUAGCAAGCAUAUUGAAUGUUUUAUAAUGUCAUUCUAGUUUUGCAGGCAAAGGAAAUGAAGUAAGGUAUGCAACUGUCUAAAAUAAUCUCGCUCAAGAUGAUUAAUUGAGCGUAAAGCUCUCUUGAAGAACUCGUAGGAAACAUUUAUUUGAUGUUUACAGAAAAUAGAGGACGAGUACAACUAACGAAAAUGAAAUUAAAAAAUUACCCUACUAUUCCCUACAUCAGUGAUCUACUUCAGUUCUUAUGACUUGUUAUAGUUAACACUUUUUGCAGGUCUCCAUCGAAAGGGAGUCCCACAUUGGCUAAUUAAGGAUAUAAUCAUGGGUUUAUAAAUAAGAAAUACAUCUCUAUUAGUAUGAGGCUUUUUGGGAAACCAAAAGUAAAGGGUAUUAUGGAGGAUCGUGAUUCCUAACAUCCAUUACGAGAUCCAGACAACUGACCCAACUGAGAAGGAUCUUGAAGUCCUUAGAGACCAUGCAAUCUGAUUCUAAGCAUUACACUCUGAUUUGGGCUCGUGACUUUGAUAACCACUGCAGCAGCAGGAGGGUAACUUGAGCUUCCUCACUGUCGUUAUGCUUCUAAGGAAAGGCAAAGGACGGAUAAGAAAUCCACGAUAAUAAGGGAGGCUUUUGGAGGAAAGGAGAACAACCAACCACUUAUCGAUGAGGGCCUUAUCAAAAAUAGAUUAUGAAUCUGAUAGCAACACCAUAAGUUUUCUGAUACCUGACUGUGAAGCAAGAAAAGGCAAAAAUCUGUCAAAUGGUCCCAUGAAGAAAAGAAAGCAAGAAAACCCCAAAAAAUACAACCAAACAGCUUCCCAUUUUCCAUAGAUAUCAGUUUCGAGUAAGUUAAUGGGUUUGUCUUGUAUCUUACCAUCUCCCACUAGUUAUCAGUGUGUCAAAUAAGAAGCAUUACCUCAGAAUUUAAGCUACCCUUUUGGUUUCUCCAAAAGCCAAUUCAAACACAAGCCUCUCGCAGAAAAUCAGGUGGACCCAUAAGAUUUUUGUUGUGGGUUGUAUCUUAUUCCAGGCAAUAGGGA